This 688-nucleotide ribosomal RNA is filed under the name uncultured bacterium. Its description in RNAcentral is "bacterial SSU rRNA". It matches the Rfam family "Bacterial small subunit ribosomal RNA", at positions 61 to 768 of the family's 1533-position model. The record is from RNAcentral.
GUCAACUUGAAGCAGUUUCGGCUGUGGAUGGUGGCGGACGGGUGAGUAACGCGUAAAUAACUUGCCCUUUAGACUGGGACAACUGUUGGAAACGACAGCUAAUACCGGAUAUUAUGAAACCUUGGCAUCAAGGGAUUAUGAAAGCUAUAUGCGCUAGAGGAGAGAUUUGCGUCCUAUUAGCUAGUUGGUGAGGUAAUGGCUCACCAAGGCGACGAUAGGUAGCCGGCCUGAGAGGGUGAACGGCCACAAGGGGACUGAGACACGGCCCUUACUCCUACGGGAGGCAGCAGUGGGGAAUAUUGGACAAUGGACCAAGAGUCUGAUCCAGCAAUUCUGUGUGUUUGAUGAAGGCCUUCGGGUCGUAAAGAACUUUAAGUAGGGAAGAAGAAAGUGACGGUACCUACAGAAUAAGCGACGGCUAAAUACGUGCCAGCAGCCGCGGUAAUACGUAUGUCGCAAGCGUUAUCCGGAAUUAUUGGGCAUAAAGCGCGUCUAGGCGGUUUAUUAAGUCUGAUGUGAAAAUGCGGGGCUCAACUCCGUAUUGCGUUGGAAACUGGUAGACUAGAGUAUUGGAGAGGUAGGCGGAACUACAAGUGUAGAGGUGAAAUUCGUAGAUAUUUGUAGGAAUGCCAAUUGGGAAGCCAGCUUACUGGACAAUACUGACGCUGAAGCGCGAAAGCUAGGGGAG